RNAcentral lists this ribosomal RNA (440 nucleotides) under uncultured bacterium. RNAcentral describes it as "bacterial SSU rRNA". It matches the Rfam family "Bacterial small subunit ribosomal RNA", at positions 338 to 795 of the family's 1533-position model. The record is from RNAcentral.
CCUACGGGUGGCUGCAGUGGGGAAUAUUGCACAAUGGGCGAAAGCCUGAUGCAGCGACGCCGCGUGAGCGAUGAAGGCCUUCGGGUCGUAAAGCUCUGUCCUAAGGGAAGAAAAUUGACGGUACCUUAGGAGGAAGCCCCGGCUAACUACGUGCCAGCAGCCGCGGUAAUACGUAGGGGGCGAGCGUUAUCCGGAAUUACUGGGCGUAAAGGGUGCGUAGGCGGCUUUAUAAGUCAGGUGUGAAAGGCUUCGGCUCAACCGAAGUGAGCACUUGAAACUGUAGGGCUUGAGUGCAGGAGCGGAGGGAGGAAUGUCUAGUGUAGGGGAGAAAUGAGUAGAUAUUGGGAGGGGCACCAGUGGCGAAGGCGGAUCUCGGGAAUGUAACUGACGCUGAGGCCAGACAGCAUAUAGGGCAAACAGGAUUAGAUACCCGUGUAGUC